RNAcentral lists this ribosomal RNA (491 nucleotides) under uncultured bacterium. RNAcentral describes it as "partial 16S ribosomal RNA". It matches the Rfam family "Bacterial small subunit ribosomal RNA", at positions 29 to 506 of the family's 1533-position model. The record is from RNAcentral.
AGUGAACGCUGGCGGUAGGCCUAACACAUGCAAGUCGAACGGCAGCACAGUAAGAGCUUGCUCUUACGGGUGGCGAGUGGCGGACGGGUGAGGAAUACAUCGGAGUCUACUUUUUCGUGGGGGAUAAUGUAGGGAAACUUACGCUAAUACCGCAUACGACCUACGGGUGAAAGCAGGGGAUCUUCGGACCUUGCGCGAUUGAAUGAGCCGAUGUCGGAUUAGCUAGUUGGCGGGGUAAAGGCCCACCAAGGCGACGAUCCGUAGCUGGUCUGAGAGGAUGAUCAGCCACACUGGAACUGAGACACGGUCCAGACUCCUACGGGAGGCAGCAGUGGGGAAUAUUGGAAAAUGGGCGCAAGCCUGAUCCAGCCAUACCGCGUGGGUGAAGAAGGCCUUCGGGUUGUAAAGCCCUUUUGUUGGGAAAGAAAAGCAGCAGGUUAAUACCCCGCUGUUCUGACGGUACCCAAAGAAUAAGCACCGGCUAACUUCGU